RNAcentral lists this ribosomal RNA (455 nucleotides) under uncultured bacterium. RNAcentral's name for it is "bacterial SSU rRNA". It matches the Rfam family "Bacterial small subunit ribosomal RNA", at positions 8 to 482 of the family's 1533-position model. The record is from RNAcentral.
AGAGUUUGAUCCUGGCUCAGGAUGAACGCUGGCGGCGUGCCUAAUACAUGCAAGUCGAACGGAGACAUUAGCAAUAGUGUCUUAGUGGCGAACGGGUGAGUAACGCGUUGGUGACCUGCCCCGAAGAGGGGGAUAACAGUCCGAAAGGAUUGCUAAUACCCCAUAUGGUCGUUUGGAUUAGAAGCCUUACGACUAAACGGAUUUAUUCGCUUUGGGAGGGGCCUGCGUCCCAUCAGCUAGUUGGUAAGGUAACGGCUUACCAAGGCGAUGACGGGUAGGGGACCUGAGAGGGUGGCCCCCCACAAUGGAACUGAAACACGGUCCAUACACCUACGGGUGGCAGCAGUAGGGAAUAUUGGUAAUCUGGGAAACCGGGAACCAGCAACGCCGCGUGCGCGAUGAAGGCCUUCGGGUUGUAAAGCGCUUUUGAAGGGAUGAGGGAGGACAGUACCUCA